AACGAACGCUGGCGGCAUGCCUAACACAUGCAAGUCGAACGAGACCUUCGGGUCUAGUGGCGCACGGGUGCGUAACUCGUGGGAACCUGCCCUUAGGUUCGGAAUAACUCCCCGAAAGGGGUGCUAAUACCGGAUAAUGUCUUCGGACCAAAGAUUUAUCGCCUUUGGAUGGGCCCGCGUUGGAUUAGCUAGUUGGUAGGGUAAAAGCCUACCAAGGCGACGAUCCAUAGCUGGUCUGAGAGGAUGAUCAGCCACACUGGGACUGAGACACGGCCCAGACUCCUACGGGAGGCAGCAGUGGGGAAUAUUGGACAAUGGGCGAAAGCCUGAUCAAGCAAGGCCGCGUGAGUGAUGAAGGCCUUAGGGUUGUAAAGCUCUUUUACCCGGGAUGAUAAUGACAGUACCGGGAGAAUAAGCUCCGGCUAACUCCGUG
This 433-nucleotide ribosomal RNA is filed under the name uncultured bacterium. RNAcentral's name for it is "partial 16S ribosomal RNA". It matches the Rfam family "Bacterial small subunit ribosomal RNA", at positions 29 to 507 of the family's 1533-position model. The record is from RNAcentral.